Molecule: long non-coding RNA, 3873 nt
Organism: Helianthus annuus (common sunflower)
Lineage: Eukaryota; Viridiplantae; Streptophyta; Magnoliopsida; Asterales; Asteraceae
Exons: 12
Source: RefSeq, a predicted model, not a curated record
UUCAUCCGCCGCUUCACAAUUCUUUCACUCUCUAAACCCUAGAUCCUCCACCGCAUAACUGAAGCACCUCCACCGCACCUCCACCGCACCUCCACCGCUCAUCCAUGGAACCUGUCUUUGCCAUCACCGUCUUCUCCCCUUUCAUCCAUGGAACAGGUCAUGUUUUUAACCCUAUUUUGUACGUUUUUUUUUAAUCUUUGUCAGAUCUGUGAUAAUACUUUUAGAUCUGUUUUAAUACUUUUAGAUCUGUGAUAAUACUUUUAGAUCGGUGAAUCUGUGAUAAUACUUUUAGAUCUGUGUUGGUUUUGUGAUUAUUUUAAUGUUCUGUGAAUGGCUCAACAUUAGGGCUUUUUGUUUGAUAAUUAGGGCUUUGUCUGAUCUGUGAAUGGACCAAUUUUAAUUUCUUGCAUUAGGGCUUUGUCAGAUCUGUGAUAAUACUUUUAGAUCUGUUUUAAUACUUUUAGAUCUGUGAUAAUACUUUUAGAUCUGUGAAUCUGUGAUAAUUCUUUUAGAUCUGUGAUAAUACUUUUAGAUCUGUGUUGGUUUUGUGAUUAUUUUAAUGUUCUGUGAGAUUUAUAGAGAAAACGUAAUUUCUGUUUCAUAAUUAGGGCUUUUUGUUUGAUCUAAUCGGUUACUGAAUUAUGGUUUUGUUUGUAAGGAGAAUCCGAUUGCAAGCUCACCGGCGAAGGAAGCAUACAGGAAUCGGCUGGCGGACAGCCUCAACAUGGACAGAACUAACAUUCUAGCUUUCAGGAAUAAGCCUCCGACACCAACAGAUGCGGUUCCAAACGAGUGGUUUUGCUUCACUACAAAGCAACAAUUUUCAAAUUCAAAAUUUGUGUGGCCACGUGACCUUUGUUAUGUGCGGUAUUGGCGCCGAAAUGAUGAUGGGAGUUAUGGAUUGGUUUGAUCCAAUUGCUGAUUCGACUACUAGCCAUCUCGAUCUGAUUCCCCACAUGGUUUAGGGGAGAAGUUUAAAACAACAGGACUAUGGAAGGAUAUACGGUGCUACAUUGACAGUCAACUCUACGGUUUGUAGGUUGAAGUUUGCUUAACACGCUUCAACCGUCGAACUUGGUGCGGCUCAAUUGAAUAAGGAAAGCAGGGAGGUCAUGGACCUUAAAGACUUGUGCAGACUAAAACUGUGAUUGAGAUAUCUGCAGCAGUAGCUAGCAGCAGCUGAAGGGAAUGUUGAUCGAAAGAUGUGAACAGAGGCAAGGUGGCAAGGUUUUAGUAAUAGUUGUUAUAUGGUACAUUUACAUAACAUGAACUUUUACUUCCAGUUGAUUUCGACAUAACUAUAGUCUGUACAGUGUACAUAUUUCAGUAUUAAAAUCACAAGUUUACACAUUCUUAGAGUGGUUUAAUCCAUGUCUUUGACCGGUAUUAUUAUCGUUUGAAGCAAAGUUGGGUAAUCGGAGAUGAUACCAUAAAUGAAACUGCAUCUCCAUAAGCUAAUGAGGUGAUGUUAUUGGAUCUUGGUUCAUUGGCCGCCUUGGUUUUAAAAUGCGCGCAUAAUGCGUGAUGCGUCCGAUGCGCUGAUGAGAGCGCAUCGCUACAACUGAUGCGUUGUGUUUACGUGAUGCGAGUAUAUUGCGCGCAUUUCGCAUGAUGCGCUCAUCGCAUAAUGCGCUCUGAUGCACGCAACAUUGUUUCUUAUGUUUUUGGCCCACAAGCACUGAUUUGAUGAAGGUUGUUAAUCAAGUGAGCAGCAACGCACGACAGAUGGGGAUUUUGGCGAGGAGACUAGGGUUCCGGUGAAACCUUUUCACUACAUGUUGUCAUCUCUGUCGACAAUGAACAAAUUGAAGACGUGCAGUGGUGAAAGUUCUUAGACCGGAAGGUUUGUAUAUGAUUUACAGAUCUAUGUGGAAUGCAGAAAAUGGGAGUUGUCACCAGGAGAGGAUAAAAAAGUUCUAUGGCUGAUGCAUUUGUGAGUUUUAAGGUCCAAUUUAAACACAAAAAAAUGAACCAUUGUGGAUUCCAUUAGAAGAACACCUUUUGCAUCAUCCUGUGAAGAGAUGAGGAGCUCUGCUUCAGUGAAGGAAAGGGCAAUCUACUUGUGAAGGUACCUGUGAAGGAAAGGGCAAUGUAUGCCUUCCAAACCAAGAUGCAGGCUUGAUGGGGAUGAAUUUCAUGAUUGGAAGAAAAUAAACCUUUCCUAUUUAAUACCUUGGUCUCACAAGUUCUAAAUAAAUCAUAAUUUUUUUGGUAUUCUCGUACGUGUGAUGCCUUUUUGCUAAAUGAAGACAGCUAGAGCAUGGCGUGGAAGCUUAAAAGAGAUAUAAUGAUGUCUGGUGUUCGACAACGACGAAAUUUUAAAGGGCCAAACUGGGUUAUUAUAUUAGUGUGCUUAGUCAGCAUAUUUUUAGUUGGAUUAUAUAUCUACCAGCCCAGGAAUACUGCUGCCUGCUAUAUCUUUCUGUCCCGUGGCUGUUCCGAUCUUGAAAACACUCCAGCAGUUCCUUCCAGAGAAUUAACAGAUGAAGAAAACACAGCUCGGGUGGUCAUCACGGAAAUUUUGAAAUCAUCUCCUGCUGCUCCAAAGAACGCGAAAGUCGCUUUCAUGUUUUUGACUCCUGGCCCAUUACCGUUUAAAAUUCUAUGGGACAAGUUCUUUCAAGUAAAAGAACCUGUUUUGAUCCAAACAGACCUAACCCGUCAUAAGACCCACACGUAUUUCAUUUUUCACACAAAGGUAUUUCGGGUGCUUUUAUUCGCCUGAGUAAACUGGUGACAAUGAACGGGCGUCAGGUGCUUCUAUUCGCCUCAUAACUGAUUAACUGACCAUGUGAGAUAAAAGAAGACGCCUUUGUUUGGAUUAAGUAUAGAUCGAGUAAAGCUUCCCUUGAGUGGGAUAGCUGGGUUUCGUUUAAUGUUGGGGCUCUGUUGUAAUUUGCUUUUCCUCCUUGUAUUCCAGCCAGUGGCUGGUUGCUUUAUAUUUAUAUAUAAAGUUGUUGCAGUUCAAAAAAAUAUAUAUAUAACAUUCUUCUGUUGUUUUGAGACCGAAACACAAUUAAUAAGAUUUUUUUUAAAUGACAGAUGCAGACAUGGGAUACUAUUGCUGGAGGCGAUUCAGAGAACCAGGUAACAAAAUUUCUGCAUAAGCGAGCACAACCCCAGCGAGCCCAACGCAACGGCGCAGUGAGCGCAGCCGCAUCGACGUCUAAUAUCAAUUUCUAUUGGUUCAAUUUAGUAUCUCAAUGAGUAUAUAUCAAUUUCUAUGUCGUCUAAUAUCAGAUGCUUUCAAUUAUUGUAUAUGAGAUAAGUUUGUUUUUGGUCUAUCACAGGACUACCAGAAUGCCCAGGUCAAUGAAAGAUCUUUUAAUGCCAUCAAGUGAUAUAAGAGAGUUUUGUAUAUGUAAUGCCCAAACGAGUUGAAUUGGUCAUUGUUGCGAGAGAAGCUACCUUGGGCUUGUUCAAAGAUUGUAAAGGAAUAACGGAACAGGGUUCUGCUGAGCGUGACAAGCAUCAAAUGAUGCAGCUGGGCUUCAAUCAGCUACAGCAUGGGCUCAAAUGUUGUCUCAAUAGGCGAUUUUCAGCUUCAACAUCAACUAUAGCUUAUGCAACCUACAAAUCCCAGUUUGACAAUUUAGCAUAAUCUCCAAGAUUGCAGUCUACAUGGGCCGGUAGCAUAUCACAAACAUCAGGCCCUUUGGUGAUCUAACUGCAAAACAAUGGAUUCGCUUCCUAUUGCUUCGGUUGCUCGAGUCAUGCUCCCAAGUGGAGGUCCUGUGAAAUGUAAUUGGACAGGGCACAUAUGCAUAUGAUACUGAACUAAUGUUAUUUCUCCCUUUCUUUUAUUGUGGUAAAGUUUAUGACAUUUUAUUUUCUAUAUGUACAUACUAUGCAACGGUUUUUGGGACUUGUAUU